GGACACCAAAGCACUACUACAAGGAAUGAGAGAAAUGUGUUUUUUACUGAACUCAGCAGUGGGAUACAACAUUAACAUUGGGUGGGACUUCUUUAAGUUAAAUGGCCUGUACAUCAGUGUGAUUCAUGCCUCUUUAAUUUUUCCUAGUGCUGAAUUUGGCAAGUCUCUUUAGCUGCCACAGAACCUGAGUGCUGCAAAACUCACAUCAGUGUUGUUAGGCACAGCAGCUCAAGUAGUUCCAGAAUCUCACCCUGUGAACAAAGAAUGCUGGAAAUCACUUGGCCAUGGGAGACUCUGUGCUCAGCCAGAAUGCCAUCUAUAUCCUGACUGUUCUCCAAGGAUCUUCUGCUCUUGUCCUCACAGGCAACCUGGUGGCAUGCUUGUCUUUCUCUCUCCUCACUACCCUCAUCCCAACUAUAAGACAAAUGGCCUUUCAGGCCUCAAUCAAAAAUGACACAAGACAACAGAUGGAUGCAAGUACACAGGGAAAACAGAAGACAAAACAUUUAUUCAUUUAGUAAGCAUGAGCCACAGUGCACCAGCUGCUCAGGACAUUACUACAGCAAUUUUAUGGGAAGAACAUGAAACGAGUGAAAACACAUGGAGAAGGGAGCUUAUGUAUAUAGUACAUUGUCAGCUUAGCCAACAUACAUAAAGUUUAUUCAUAAUUCAACUAUUUUUUUUCAUUUUUUCAUAAGACGGGGGAGAAUGACAGCAAUACUGACUGAGUCCAUGGACUUGGUUCCGUAUGUGUUAAAUAAUCUGUAACAGAUUUCCAAAUAAUGUAACAAACCACCAACUGUAAUGAAGGCA
This is a long non-coding RNA of Numida meleagris (helmeted guineafowl), 813 nucleotides long. RefSeq lists it as uncharacterized. The record is from RefSeq and is a predicted model, not a curated record. NCBI's taxonomy places the organism in Eukaryota, Metazoa, Chordata, Aves, Galliformes, Numididae. The transcript is spliced from 3 exons.